This is a long non-coding RNA of Chionomys nivalis (European snow vole), 497 nucleotides long. RefSeq lists it as uncharacterized. The transcript has 3 exons. Lineage: Eukaryota; Metazoa; Chordata; Mammalia; Rodentia; Cricetidae. The record is from RefSeq and is a predicted model, not a curated record.
GUCUUCACCUUCUCUGGCGUUACAGCGUCCUCCCACGCUCACGCCCGGAGGCGACACGGGCCCACAACAGGACAGGGAACCCCCCUGUCGGUUCCCCCACCCCACCCCCGAACACGGUGAACGCGGGCCGGCCUGGACAUUCGGGGCGACGAAAACGAAAGUACGACCGAGACCACAGGCAGCUGGGAAAACAGGCGAAUCAAUCGCUCACGGGAAACAAAGAGCGUGUCUGACCGUUCAUCGGUGACAGGACUAGUUUCAUGUACAUUGGUGUUUAGCCUGCACGUAUGUCUAUAAGAGUGUUGUAUGUUGGAUUCCCCUGGACUGGACUUGGAGACAAUUGUGAGCUGCCAUGUAGAACCUCUUCAGAUCCCGAAUAACUGGACCUGCUGGAUGGGUCAAGGAGGAAAUAAAAGAAGAAUAAAAGAAAAAAAUAAAGAAGAAAAGUAUCUACAUGGUGUGGAUUGUCUAUCAUAUAGUUGAUCCUGGGCAGUAAA